GACAAACCCAGUUUUAAGGUCCAGUUUCUGUCAUAAUUCAUAGAUGGUUUUGGGAAGAAAAGAAAAUGAGCCAAAGCACGUUCUACUUGAACCUGCUUAACUACGUAAAAGGUCCACGCUACAUCACCCUACUGUAGUUUGUGCCCUGCGCUCCCACAAUGCGUUGAAUGUCCUUGAUUUAAAUGUGUUUGUUAUUUACACAUUAAUAAACUGUUGUAGCAGUGGCACCGAAGAAGACAUGGAAUAAACACUGCAAAUACAGACAAAUGCUUUUUAAAAUUUUCAUCAGGCACUUCAACAGCAAGUCUUUGCGAAGACCGGAAAUGUCCAGACCAGCGCUACCCCAACAUGGAGCCAAAGAUGGUGUAACCUGGGAGGUCAUGACACAUGGAGUUUGCCCCCCAUUGCAGCGCAGCCCACGACAGACACCACACUAUAUUACCUCGACACAAUUGGUUCAAGAGCAGUGCAAGCAGAUGUUUCAGUACGGAGGCAGAUCUAGACGCAAACCGGCCUUCAUGUCUGGACCGGCUCUGAGCUGUUUAUGCAAUCCACACGCACACAGAUACACACACACACACACACACACACAUUAAAAUCUCUGGAACGUUAUCGAUCCUUCAGAACACAGGGGCUGGAGAGAGCAUAAACUGAUACAUGGAUUCCUGCCUUUACUCUCCUCCAGAAAACUGUUUUUUCCCUCUGUAACGAUGAGUUUAACAGAGCCACCUCUUUGAAAAGCCCUGCGUCUAGCUGGU
This is a long non-coding RNA of Pygocentrus nattereri (red-bellied piranha), 758 nucleotides long. The record is from Ensembl. NCBI's taxonomy places the organism in Eukaryota, Metazoa, Chordata, Actinopteri, Characiformes, Serrasalmidae.